Molecule: long non-coding RNA, 521 nt
Filed under: Homo sapiens (human)
Lineage: Eukaryota; Metazoa; Chordata; Mammalia; Primates; Hominidae
Description: long non-coding RNA NONHSAT193766.1
Source: RNAcentral
GGUGAGUCUUACUGUUGCGGGCUCCGGGGCCGUCGACCAUGCCGCUCGACCUCCACCUCCGCUGGGAAGCUGAGGCGCCAAACGGCUCCCAGAGGGUCCCGGGAAGCGCAUGGUGAGGGUCCCCGGGCCGGCUGUGCAGCGGAAUCGGGCCCUUCCCGGACUCGCGCCCUUCCCGGACUCGCCGCUGGCGAGCGCGUGGAGGGCCCGGCAGGCCUGGCGCGCCUUGGGCCACGCGUGCGCGCCUCCGCCGCUGGAGCUGGAUGGCUGAUGCGGCUCGUGGUCCGAGAGCCUUGUCCUGCCGUGUGGGCCUUGCGGACCUGGGAGCUGGCGGGCGUUGGGAACCGGGCUUAAGCUACUGAGGCGUUUGCUGAUUUCGUCCAUCCAGGUUGGCGCCUGGCUCUCGGGCGUUUGUUCCCUGCAGCAUUCUUUUUCGCUGAAUUUAACCAUGUUGUCUUUAGCUGCAGAAGGUGACAUAUGUAGCGAGUAUUUCUAAGUAAGUUUCACUGUCCUUUCUCCUCCAA